CCCAGCUCCAGAUUAGCCUCAUUCCCACUCACCUCUCGAUUGGAGCCUAGAGCAGUUCUCCACCCAGAUCCCGUCUCUCACCCGUUGUGGCAGCGACCGACAGCACUCGGCAAGUUACGGUGCUAGAAAAGUACGGCGACUGAUGGUGGCGGAAAACGGCGACUGGCCACGCAUGCUGUUGUGGGAGCGGCGGCAGCACGGGCUGAUGGGCGAGCGGGGGGCAGGGGGCGCAAGGCUGAUGGCCGAGCGGCGGGGCGUGCUAAUGGGCGGCCGGCGCCGUGGGCUGAUGUUCUGCGCUGAUCGGUUCUCAUUCGCAUGCAGGGUAAAGGAGGCGAGAGAUCCACAUCUCUAGCUGAACAGCCGCCCGAGGAAAUGUCUCCUCCCUACCCAGCCAGAAGUUUGAUCCUUCCGAUCGAAGAGGUACCGUAUCAGUUUCCAUUUGCAAGACGUAUGGUUGGAAAAGGAUUGAAGUACUGGUGUAACACUAAUAAUUCUUACUAAGAUGUGAUUUCUAUGUCAAUGUGUAGAUGAUUCCUGAACAAAUUAUAUAUAUGGCGAUGGGCACUACGAUCAAGACGACGAUAAUGGUGAUGAGUCUGAUGAUCUUCGAGUCAUGCAACCAAGUGAAGUUAUGAAGUUCAUGGACAAUUUAGCUUAUGCACAAUGUUUGGACCAUUAUAUCUUAGUCAUUAUUUUGUUUUUCAUUUGACACUUCUUAGAUGCGUCAGUAUGGCCAAUGUAAUAUUGAUUCAACUCAUUAGCCAUGUUAUACUUCUUGUUGUUAUGCUAAAUAAAAUAUAUUUUCUUUGA
Molecule: long non-coding RNA, 810 nt
Organism: Triticum aestivum (bread wheat)
Lineage: Eukaryota; Viridiplantae; Streptophyta; Magnoliopsida; Poales; Poaceae
Exons: 4
Source: RefSeq, a predicted model, not a curated record